ACGAACGCUGGCGGCGUGCCUAACACAUGCAAGUCGAACGAGAAAGGGGCUUCGGCUCCGAGUAAAGUGGCGCACGGGUGAGUAACACGUGGGUAACCUGCCUCUAAGAUUGGGAUAACUCGUCGAAAGAUGAGCUAAUACCGAAUAAGACCACAGUUCCCGCGGGAACAGGGGUCAAAGGUAGCCUCUGCUUGCAAGCUAUCACUUAGAGAUGGGCCUGCGCACCAUUAGCUAGUUGGUAGGGUAACGGCCUACCAAGGCAAAGAUGGUUAGCUGGUCUGAGAGGAUGAUCAGCCACACUGGAACUGAGACACGGUCCAGACUCCUACGGGAGGCAGCAGUGGGGAAUAUUGCGCAAUGGGCGAAAGCUUGACGCAGCAACGCCGCGUGAGUGAUGAAGGCCUUCGGGUCGUAAAGCUCUGUCGGGAGGAACGAAUGCUCCUGAGGUUAACAGCCUCGGGAGGUGACGGUACCUUCAAAGGAAGCACCGGCUAACUCUGUG
RNAcentral lists this ribosomal RNA (502 nucleotides) under uncultured bacterium. Its description in RNAcentral is "partial 16S ribosomal RNA". It matches the Rfam family "Bacterial small subunit ribosomal RNA", at positions 29 to 507 of the family's 1533-position model. The record is from RNAcentral.